This 253-nucleotide ribosomal RNA is filed under the name uncultured bacterium. RNAcentral describes it as "partial 16S ribosomal RNA". It matches the Rfam family "Bacterial small subunit ribosomal RNA", at positions 524 to 776 of the family's 1533-position model. The record is from RNAcentral.
UACGUAGGGUGCAAGCGUUAAUCGGAAUUACUGGGCGUAAAGCGCACGUAGGCGGUCAGGCAAGUCGGGUGUGAAAGCCCUGGGCUCAACCUGGGAAUUGCAUUCGAAACUAUCUGACUCGAGUAUGGGAGAGGGAAGCGGAAUUUCCGGUGUAGCGGUGAAAUGCGUAGAUAUCGGAAGGAACACCAGUGGCGAAGGCGGCUUCCUGGACUAAUACUGACGCUGAGGUGCGAAAGCGUGGGGAGCAAACAGG